This 1578-nucleotide ribosomal RNA is filed under the name Triticum aestivum (bread wheat). Its description in RNAcentral is "partial small subunit ribosomal RNA". Lineage: Eukaryota; Viridiplantae; Streptophyta; Magnoliopsida; Poales; Poaceae. The record is from RNAcentral.
AUGUCAAGCCGGCCCGCCCGCCGCCGCUCGUCGGCGUCGGCCACGGCGGAGACCGCCGGCGCUAGGGCUGCCAAGGCAGCGUCGCUGGAAAACAAGCGGGCCGCCCUGGGAAAUCUCACCAACGUUGCCGGCGGGAGGACCGGCGGGGCCGAUGCGAAAUCGAGUUCAUCCAACUCAGUAGCCUAUGUGAAGAAGGGGAGUUCUGCUGGCCUUCCCAACGUGAAUAGGAAAGUGGCUUCUGCCACAAAACCAACUUUAGACCGGUUUGAGCGAGCAAUAUCGCACCAUGGCAAUGCCCUUCAGAAGGAGAACGUUUGUUGCCCAUCUGUGCCUACGUUGGCACCCCAUGGCAGUUGGCCCGGCCUGUCUCAUGAUUCUGUUUCUAUGGAGGACGAUAUGCUAACAUGCAAUUCAGUGGAAAGCCCUGGUCCUCUAUUCCUUGACAAUGCAGCUUCUUCAGUGGCAACUUCCUUGCGCCGUUGUGCGAAUGAUAAACUUCCUGUAUCUGACAAUAGGGAUACCACAGUAUCUAGAUGGAGAAAACAUUGUCCUACCCCAAUCGAAAAUGACGAUAUCUUUGAGAUUGAAACGCACUGCAAGGAUCCAGAAUUGUGUUCAACUCUUACUUGUGACAUUUACAAGCACUUGCGUGAAGCUGAGACCAAGAAAAGGCCUUCACCAGAUUUUCUGGAAACCACACAGAAGGAUAUUGACGCAAGCAUGAGGGCAGUACUUAUAGACUGGCUUGUGGAAGUCACAGAAGAAUAUCGUCUUGUUCCUGAAACCUUAUACCUCACAGUCAGUUAUAUUGAUCGGUAUCUUUCUAGCAAAGAGAUCAAUCGAGAUAAGCUGCAGUUACUUGGUGUCGCCUGCUUGCUUAUAGCCGCUAAGUAUGAAGAGAUAUGUCCACCCCAAGUAGAAGAGCUCUGCUAUAUUACCGACAAUACAUACAUAAAGGAUGAGGUUCUGCAAAUGGAAGCUUCUAUCCUGGGUUGCUUGAAGUUUGAGAUGACUGCACCUACAGAAAAAUGUUUUUUGAGAUUUCUGCAUGCUGCUCAAGUAUGUCAUGAGGUAAUUGCUUCUCUUCAAUUAUUUACAGUUACAGUCAGUCCUGUGUGCAAUGUGGUCUUCCAGCUUACUCAACCUAUUCUCCUGCAGGGCCCAGCUUUGCAUCUUGAGUUCCUAGCUAGCUACAUUACUGAGUUGUCACUUCUGGAGUACAGCUUACUUUGCCAUGUACCUUCACUGAUAGCUGCCUCUUCAAUUUUCUUGGCGAAUUUUAUCCUUAAGCCAACAAAGAAUCCUUGGAAUACCACUCUUUCCUAUCACACACAAUACAAACCAUCCACAUUACGCGAUUGUGUAAAGGUACUACACCGGCUUUUCUGUUUUGGCCUUGGAAGCAACCUCCCUGCAAUUAGAGAAAAGUACAGCCAACACAAGCGAAGAAGUACUGCCCGCCGUCGAUUCCAGCCGACUUCUUCCAAGAUGCUAGCAGUUAGAACUUGGAACACCAGAUCAGGUUCGGUUACUCAUUCAAGUCUUCCGGUGGCUGGUGGCCCGAAGUUGCUAGGCUGA